This 2160-nucleotide long non-coding RNA is filed under the name Cucumis sativus (cucumber). RNAcentral's name for it is "long non-coding RNA (CSAT_LNC002638)". The record is from RNAcentral. Lineage: Eukaryota; Viridiplantae; Streptophyta; Magnoliopsida; Cucurbitales; Cucurbitaceae.
AUAAUAAUUAAUCAUCAAAUGGAAGGUCACAUGUUCUCAACCAGGUUGCUAUGAUACCACAUGUAAAAUUUAACUUGCAUGAUUAUAUAGAGUUAUUUUAUGGAUUGUCCAACUAAAAAUCAUAUGACGAUAGCACAAAAACGUUUUUUCUGUUUAUAUUUAAUGAUUUUACAAGUCUUGAGUCAUCAAACAGGUAGAACCAAGCGUUAGGAUUACAAACCAAACGGGACUCAAGUGCAGCAACGUAGAAAGAAGAAGCAAAAUGCCAAAAUGUCUCUGAGGGGAGGGCAUUGUGCAACGCUGCAAAUGUUGCACGCGCCAUAUCUAAGUCAGUAGACAUGCUUUGGCAUGAUGCGAAUUCGAAAAGGCUAUGAUGCAUUGAGUGUCAUGACGACACUUUUGAUAUUUGAAGUAGGAGAUGCUCGUGUAAGAGCGAUGCAGAGCUUUGAUCUCCCUGAUGUUAUUGUCAUCCUUCUUCUGUAUACCUUACUAUUCUUGCUCAAUCAGGACCUGUAUUAAUCUUUCUUCAUCAAUUUGAAGGUUGAUUUCUUGGCUAAGGUACGUUGUUUCAGCAUGCAUGGCUGUUUAGAUCAAGUUUUCCCGUUUUAUGAUUAAUUUUUUAGAUUAACAUUCUUGUUUCUACAUUUUAUCUCCAGAAUGAAUUGAUUAUCGAUCAAUUUAUCAAUGAAUUGUCUGAAAAACAAUCCUAGAUUGAAUGAUUAAUUGCUAUUGAUUCAAACUUCGUUCAUUAGUCCCUAAAUUACUAAGUAGCAAGAGGUUAGAUUAACCACCGAUGAACAUCGUUUUACACAAGCCAAGCGAAAAUCACAUCAAGAUUGUACUCAAGCAUUAUCAAUUAGAAUUUGAUUCUAUAACAUAAUCCCUAAAAGUUUAUAUAUGCAAUUUGUGUUAUCCAGUGGUUACCAUUUGCUCAUCUACUGAUCAUGUUGGAUAAUUAUAUAAGUUAAUUAAGAUAGCCGGUUAGUAUAAUUAUUACUAAUCAGUUUGGUUGAGCAUAGACAAUAUUGCAAUCUAUAUCAGUUGGAUGAUGAAUUAAGCUGAUUAGGAAAAAGUUCGAAAUGAACCCAAACUGUACCUUUAUAAUCAUGAUUUCACAACUCUCUCUUGCUUUCUUUUUGCCUACAAUUUUACCUCUUACAUAAUUUAUUUUCUUGCUUCUGCUAAUUCUUGCGAACACCAAACAAAACCAUCUUUUGGUUACCUCAGAGACUGUAAGCAUUAGAAAAUACAACGGUUUUUGUGGUUCGACCUGUACUACAUAAAUAUAUAUACGAUGCAUAAUUAAGAUAGACACGCAAAUUUAUUUGAUUAUUCAUCAGAGGAUUCAACACCCCCUUGGGUGUGAGUUAUCAUACGACUCUGAAAUAUUCCUCCAUUCUUGAUCAUGAACCACACUUAAACUCUUGAGUCUUUGUUUGCAUGUUUUCAAAUGAAGAAACUGUAAAACAAUAUUCGUAUAUCUUGCAAUGAUGUAAUACAAUAUUUUUCUGUUUUUACAAGUAAAAUCAUCAUUCCAGUUUACCAAAAUUGGUACAUCUUGCAACAAUGUCAGUACGUCGCAAAAUAAAAAGUAGAAAGAGUUCAAUGACAAUGGUAGCAUUUUGGUUUGUGGUCAAAGAAUUCAAGCCACAUGUUAAGUUCUUAGAAAGCUUCAACAGAAUUGGAGGAUCUCAUGUGACUUUACCAAUAAGCUAAGAUCAAUGAAGGUAAAAAAACAGACCAUGGAGAGAGGUUGGCAAUUAUGGCUAGGAGAAGAAAGUGAUGAAGGUAAUGAAUAUCCAAAAAAUUCACUAUAAAAAAAUUAUAAAGAAGUAGCUGCAACUUAAUUUCAAGUAUGGAGGAGACGCUUCAAACUUCAAAGCUGGCUAAAUGUUUCAAAGUUUGAUAUGAAAACUAAUUAUUUUCAUACUCAUCUUUGUUUUCCCAAAAUGAAUUUAGAUGAAGGAUCGGUUCACAGAGUUCUAAAGAAAUUAAAGUGAAGCUUGGUGUUGUUGCACAUGAGGACGCUGAGGGAUGUUAAAAUUUCUAUUAGAAUUUGAUAGUUUGAUGGACAAAAUUUAUUUACAAACAUAGUAAAAUAUUUACAAAUGAAUAACAUCUUGUUUUAUUUUAAAAUAUUUUUAACGAUUUUAUCAUUUC